RNAcentral lists this ribosomal RNA (610 nucleotides) under uncultured archaeon. RNAcentral describes it as "bacterial SSU rRNA". It matches the Rfam family "Archaeal small subunit ribosomal RNA", at positions 319 to 929 of the family's 1478-position model. The record is from RNAcentral.
GGCCCUACGGGGCGCAGCAGGCGCGAAAACUUUACAAUGCUGGGAACAGCGAUAAGGGAACCUUGAGUGCCAGGUUACAAAUCUGGCUGUCGUGAUGCCUAAAAAGCAUUAUAUAGCAAGGGCCGGGCAAGACCGGUGCCAGCCGCCGCGGUAACACCGGCGGCUCGAGUGGUAACCGUUAUUAUUGGGUCUAAAGGGUCUGUAGCCGGCCGGAUAAGUCUCUUGGGAAAUCUGGCAGCUCAACUGUCAGGCUUUCAGGGGAUACUGUCUGGCUCGAGGCCGGGAGAGGUGAGAGGUACUUCAGGGGUAGGGGUGAAAUCUUGUAAUCCUUGAAGGACCACCAGUGGCGAAGGCGUCUCACCAGAACGGACCUGACGGCAAGGGACGAAAGCUAGGGGCACGAACCGGAUUAGAUACCCGGGUAGUCCUAGCCGUAAACGAUACUCGCUAGGUGUCGGCCACGGUGCGACCGUUGUCGGUGCCGUAGGGAAGCCGUGAAGCGAGCCACCUGGGAAGUACGGCCGCAAGGCUGAAACUUAAAGGAAUUGGCGGGGGAGCACCACAACGGGUGGAGCUUGCGGUUUAAUUGGAUUCAACGCCGGAAAUCUUA